CAGCCGCCGCGGUAAUACGAAGGGGGCUAGCGUUGUUCGGAUUUACUGGGCGUAAAGGGUGCGUAGGCGGACUGAUAAGUCAGGGGUGAAAUCCCAAGGCUCAACCUUGGAACUGCCUUUGAUACUGUUAGUCUUGAGUUCGAGAGAGGUGAGUGGAACUGCGAGUGUAGAGGUGAAAUUCGUAGAUAUUCGCAAGAACACCAGUGGCGAAGGCGGCUCACUGGCUCGAAACUGACGCUGAGGCACGAAAGCGUGGGGAGCAAACAGGAUUAGAUACCCCUGUAGUCCCUGUCUCUUAUAC
Molecule: ribosomal RNA, 301 nt
Filed under: uncultured bacterium
Lineage: Bacteria
Description: partial 16S ribosomal RNA
Rfam family: Bacterial small subunit ribosomal RNA
Source: RNAcentral